UAUUAUGGAGGAUCAAUUAGUUACCAUACAUUAUGCGUUGGCAAAAUUCUUAUAAUUGGUUUCUCAUGUACCCAAAUAUGGAACGAUAUAUAUGAGUACGUUAAAACACUGCUAUCCCCAGAACACAGAAUGGUUAGGGCACACAGAUCAUAUUGUUUCUCUAGGCACCCAAAUAUGAAACGAUUAUGUAUGCGUACACACUUAUCACUUCGCCAAUACACCUGAACACGGAAGGGUAUGUAUGGUCAUAUUGAUGCCUAACAUAAUGCAAGUGCUUCCAAAACAAGUCCUUUCCAU
This 297-nucleotide long non-coding RNA is filed under the name Carica papaya (papaya). RNAcentral's name for it is "long non-coding RNA (CPAP_LNC001477)". Lineage: Eukaryota; Viridiplantae; Streptophyta; Magnoliopsida; Brassicales; Caricaceae. The record is from RNAcentral.